RNAcentral lists this ribosomal RNA (235 nucleotides) under uncultured bacterium. Its description in RNAcentral is "partial 16S ribosomal RNA". It matches the Rfam family "Bacterial small subunit ribosomal RNA", at positions 99 to 334 of the family's 1533-position model. The record is from RNAcentral.
CGGACGGGUGAGUAACGCGUGGGUAACCUGCCUCAUACAGGGGGAUAACAGUUAGAAAUGACUGCUAAUACCGCAUAAGACCACAGCACCGCAUGGUGCAGGGGUAAAAACUCCGGUGGUAUGAGAUGGACCCGCGUCUGAUUAGGUAGUUGGUGGGGUAACGGCCUACCAAGCCGACGAUCAGUAGCCGGUCUGAGAGGAUGAACGGCCACACUGGAACUGAGACACGGUCCAG